GACGAACUGUCCUAACGUUGUUCGGAAUCACUGGGCUUAAAGGGCGCGUAGGCGGCGCGACAAGUCACUUGUGAAAUCUCCGGGCUUAACUCGGAACGGUCAAGUGAAACUGUCAUGCUAGAGUGCAGAAGGGGCAAUCGGAAUUCUUGGUGUAGCGGUGAAAUGCGUAGAUAUCAAGAGGAACACCUGAGGUGAAGACGGGUUGCUGGGCUGACACUGACGCUGAGGCGCGAAAGCCAGGGGAGCAAACGGG
RNAcentral lists this ribosomal RNA (253 nucleotides) under uncultured bacterium. RNAcentral's name for it is "partial 16S ribosomal RNA". It matches the Rfam family "Bacterial small subunit ribosomal RNA", at positions 524 to 776 of the family's 1533-position model. The record is from RNAcentral.